RNAcentral lists this ribosomal RNA (357 nucleotides) under uncultured marine eukaryote. RNAcentral describes it as "SSU rRNA". It matches the Rfam family "Eukaryotic small subunit ribosomal RNA", at positions 1 to 361 of the family's 1831-position model. The record is from RNAcentral.
AACCUGGUUGAUCCUGCCAGUAGUCAUAUGCUUGUCUCAAAGACUAAGCCAUGCAUGUCUAAGUAUAAAUGCUAUACAAUGAAACUGCGAAUGGCUCAUUAAAACAGUUAUAGUUUAUAUGGUAAUCGAAUUUACAUGGAUAACCGUGGUAAUUCUAGAGCUAAUACAUGCUGUUAAGCCCAACUUAUGGAAGGGCCGUAUUUAUUAGAUAACAGACCAAUAUUCUUCGUGUCUAUUGUGGUGAAUCAUAGUAACUAAUCGGAUCGUAUGGGCUAGUCCCUCGACAAACCCAUUCAAGUUUCCUGCCCCAUCAGCCUUUCGAUGGUAGUGUAUUGGACUACCUGGCUUUCCCGGGUA